Non-coding RNA from Zootoca vivipara (common lizard), 1277 nucleotides. The record is from RefSeq and is a predicted model, not a curated record. NCBI's taxonomy places the organism in Eukaryota, Metazoa, Chordata, Lepidosauria, Squamata, Lacertidae.
UUUGACUUUAGCUUUAUUCUAUCUGCUCUAGGCUUAUAGGAGAAAGCCCACAACUUUUAAUUGUUGUUACAUGACACUUAAGACCCCUUUAGUGUUGUUGUUUUUAAAGCUACUUUACAUCUAUUUCCUCUCAUGUUAUCUUAACUUUUCAGCUUUUGAGCUUCUUUGGACAUUUGAAAAAUUUCAGACGAGUCUUGCGGAUAUUUUAUGCACGACCAAACUUCGGCGUCGCAGCCAGCAAGAGGCAGUGUGCGGAAGUGGAAGACAUUUGCUCCAUCUGCCAAGCUGAAUUUCAGAAGCCUGUUCUUCUCAUCUGCCAGCACAUAUUUUGUGAAGAAUGCAUUGCUCUGUGGUUCAACAGAGAGAGAACGUGCCCCCUGUGCAGAACCAUUAUCUCGGACCACAUCAACAAGUGGAAAGAUGGGGCAACUUCCGCACAACUACAGGUCUAUUAAAAACCCUGUCGGACACAAGAACUACAGUUUGAAUGCUGGUCUUUACCGUUUAAGGGGGUUGGGUGGAAAGGAGGCGUUAGAAGAAAAAGGUACUCAGGGGGUUAAGUCUACAUACGUCCAUCUCUCAACUGCUGCAGGACUUCGAGUCCAUUCAGACAUAAAGCAACUUGCUUUUGCUUGAAAGCCUCUUUUUCAUGCUGAAGUCACCCUUCAGUUGCUGGUUGUGUGUAAAAUAUGCCAGAGCUCUGUUCUCCAACCUUGGUUCCCCUGGUGCCUUUGCACUAGAACGCCCAUCGUCCCUGACCAUUACUGGCAGGGGCUGCUGAGAGUUGUAGUCCAAUUUCAUCACGGGAACCAAAGCUGAAUAACGUUGGUUGAGAAGUCCUCAAAACUUUUGGCAAUAGCCUCAAAUUCAGUUCCAUGCAGAUGUCUAAACCAGCCUGUUACCAAAGCACGAAUAGGAUCAGUAUUGCACGUGAUAUGCUAAAAAUCCAGUUUGCACAAAUGUUGAGAUUCUAUAUGAGCUACCACUUUAUGCCACUUGGCUCCUGUAGAAGCUGCUGGUUCCUUAUCCCUCCUGCCAUUCCAGCAGUAGCUACUUAUAUUCAUGCAAGAAAGUCACGAAUGAAUUUUUUGCUUCAAUUAUGCACACAUAAUUUUUCUACUUUUGUAAGCCUGGAUUUUUAAAAAGCAAAAUCUUAUAUUUUGUCAAACAACUACAUUUUAUUACAAAGCGGAAGAGAUCUAUUUUAGUGAUACUUAAGACAACAACCUGUGGUAUUACCUAAAAAUUGGUGAGAAUAAAAGCAGUUUUAAUCCAUU